Molecule: ribosomal RNA, 253 nt
Filed under: uncultured bacterium
Lineage: Bacteria
Description: partial 16S ribosomal RNA
Rfam family: Bacterial small subunit ribosomal RNA
Source: RNAcentral
UACAGAGGUGGCAAGCGUUGUUCGGAAUUACUGGGCGUAAAGGGCGCGUAGGCGGCCAUCUAAGUCAGACGUGAAAUCCCCCGGCUUAACCUGGGAACUGCGUCUGAUACUGGACGGCUCGAGUAUGGGAGAGGGAUGUAGAAUUCCAGGUGUAGCGGUGAAAUGCGUAGAUAUCUGGAGGAAUACCGGUGGCGAAGGCGGCAUCCUGGACCAUUACUGACGCUGAGGCGCGAAAGCUAGGGGAGCAAACGGG